GCUCAGAUUGAACGCUGGCGGAAUGCUUUACACAUGCAAGUCGAGCGGCAGCGCGGGGCAACCUGGCGGCGAGCGGCGAACGGGUGAGUAAUGCAUCGGAACAUGUCCAUGUCGUGGGGGAUAGCCCGGCGAAAGCCGGAUUAAUACCGCAUAAGCCCGAGAGGGGAAGGUGGGGGACCGCAAGGCCUCACGCGAUUGGGUUGGCCGAUGUCCGAUUAGCUAGUUGGCGGGGUAAGAGCCCACCAAGGCGAUGAUCGGUAGCUGGUCUGAGAGGAUGAUCAGCCACACUGGGACUGAGACACGGCCCAGACUCCUACGGGAGGCAGCAGUGGGGAAUUUUGGACAAUGGGGGCAACCCUGAUCCAGCCAUUCCGCGUGAGUGAAGAAGGCCUUCGGGUUGUAAAGCUCUUUUGUCCGGAACGAAACGGUUACGGUGAAUACCCGUGACUACUGACGGUACCGGAAGAAUAAGCACCGGCUAACUACGUGCCAGCAGCCGCGGUAAUACGUAGGGUGCGAGCGUUAAUCGGAAUUACUGGGCGUAAAGCGUGCGCAGGCGGUUUUGUAAGCCAGAUGUGAAAUCCCCGGGCUUAACCUGGGAAUGGCAUUUGGGACUGCAAGGCUAGAGUGCGGCAGAGGAGACUGGAAUUCCUGGUGUAGCAGUGAAAUGCGUAGAUAUCAGGAGGAAUACCGAUGGCGAAGGCAGGUCUCUGGGCUGACACUGACGCUCAUGCACGAAAGCGUGGGGAGCAAACAGGAUUAGAUACCCUGGUAGUCCACGCCCUAAACGAUGUCGACUGGUUGUUGGGGGUUUGACACUCUCAGUAACGAAGCUAACGCGUGAAGUCGACCGCCUGGGGGAGUACGGCCGCAAGGUUAAAACUCAAAGGAAUUGACGGGGACCCGCACAAGCGGUGGAUUAUGUGGAUUAAUUCGAUGCAACGCGAAAAACCUUACCCUACCCUUGACAUGUCCCGGAGCCCGGUGAAGAGCCUGGGGUUGUUGCCCGAAAGGUAACCGGGAACACAGGUGCUGCAUGGCUGUCGUCAGCUCGUGUCGUGAGAUGUUGGGUUAAGUCCCGCAACGAGCGCAACCCUUGUCAUUAGUUGCUACAUUCAGUUGGGCACUCUAGUGAGACUGCCGGUGACAAACCGGAGGAAGGUGGGGAUGACGUCAAGUCCUCAUGGCCCUUAUGGGUAGGGCUUCACACGUAAUACAAUGGCGCGUACAGAGGGUUGCCAAGCCGCGAGGUGGAGCCAAUCCCACAAAGCGCGUCGUAGUCGGGAUAGCAGUCUGCAACUAGAAUGCAAAAAGUCGGAAUCGCUAGUAAUCGCGGAUCAGCAUGUCGCGGUGAAUACGUUCCCGGGUCUUGUACACACCGCCCGUCACACCAUGGGAGUGGGUUUCACCAGAAGCCGGUCGCCUAACCGCAAGGAGGGCGCCGACCACGGUGAGAUUCAUGACUGGGGUGAAGUC
RNAcentral lists this ribosomal RNA (1476 nucleotides) under uncultured bacterium. RNAcentral's name for it is "bacterial SSU rRNA". It matches the Rfam family "Bacterial small subunit ribosomal RNA". The record is from RNAcentral.